RNAcentral lists this ribosomal RNA (446 nucleotides) under uncultured bacterium. RNAcentral describes it as "partial 16S ribosomal RNA". It matches the Rfam family "Bacterial small subunit ribosomal RNA", at positions 338 to 795 of the family's 1533-position model. The record is from RNAcentral.
CCUACGGGAGGCUGCAGUCGAGAAUCAUUCACAAUGGGGGAAACCCUGAUGGUGCGACGCCGCGUGGGGGAAUGAAGGUCUUCGGAUUGUAAACUCCUGUCAUGUGGGAGCAAAUUAAAAAGAUAGUAUCACAAGAGGAAGAGACGGCUAACUCUGUGCCAGAAGCCGCGGUAAUACAGAGGUCUCAAGCGUUGUUCGGAAUCACUGGGCGUAAAGCGUGCGUAGGUGGUUGCGUAAGUCGUGUGUGAAAGGCGCGGGCUCAACCCGCGGACGGCACAUGAUACUGGGAGACUAGAGUGAAGGAGAGGUAAGCGGAAUUCUCGGUGUAGCAGUGAAAUGCGUAGAUAUCUGGAGGAACACUCGUGGCGAAGGCGGGUUCCUGGACAUUAACUGACGCUGAGGCACGAAGGCCAGGGGAGCGAAAGGGAUUAGAUACCCUUGUAGUC